GCUACGUCAACGCCACGGAUGUGACCUGCCUCAUUGACAGCCUCAAGCCAUCAACAAUGUGUGAGUUUGCUGUGAAGACCAUCAGGGUGAGACCACAGUGCUGGAAGCCUUCGUUCUUCUUUCAGUAAAUAUUCACUCAGUCCUGCAACACUUCUCAAGGAAAUCCUGCACAGCUGAAUCCUUGCUGUGAUGAGGCACAGAGAAAUUAUGACUCAUAGGGUUUGGCGUGAGUCCCCCUAUAGCCUGGUGGCCUCCAACACCCUGCUGGUGGCCCGGCCGUCCUGGCCCUCCCUGGCCAGCCGUCCACCACCACCUUCACCCGGCAGCCGCUGCAGCGGAACAAUGGGAGGAUCACAGGCUACGUGAUAUUCCUCACCACGGACCAAACUGUCGGUGACUGGGUGACGGGGGAAGUGACGGGGGACUGGCUCACCCUCACCGUCCAUGGACUGACGCCUUCAAGGAAGUAUUUGCACAAGAUGCACACUCACAAUGUCAAAGGUUUUGGUCCAUUCUCCUCCGUGGAAAGCUUCACGACUCUUCCAGCUGUUGACAAGAGCAUCGGUGAGCCCCCUGGCUGGUGUGUGGAGCGAGAGGCCUGAUUGUGCUGGUGAUCGCUGGCGUGGCAGGAGCCAUGACCAGCUGGGGGCCUUCUUGGCCACCACACUGUACUGCCGCGAGUCAAGGCGGAGCCCAGGCCAAGCAUUGUUGUUGGCGGCAGCUGCAGUGAGAGCAACAAGCCUGGCGUCCAGCCUCCAGACCUGUGGAUCCAUCACGGCCACCUGGAGCUGAAGAACUUUGACAAGGGUGAGCGCAGCAACUCCCCCAACCACGCCUCCAUCAUCCAGCACACAGGUGGGUGUCUUUGUCAGUCAGUGAACAGUGUGCAGCUCAUGGGAGUCCUGUCAUUUGUGUGGUAUUUUUUGUAAUAUUUGGUUGCUGGUGUUUUGUUGCCAGUCACUGCUGCGUUGUAGUGUGCCAGUGACGCCACACACAACCUUACACAACCCCCGGACACUCCAGUAUGAGAGUCAUCACACAUUACAGAGUUUCCAUCUCUCUCUAUCCAGACACUCCCUCCUUGCCUGCUCA
This is a long non-coding RNA of Eriocheir sinensis (Chinese mitten crab), 1092 nucleotides long. RefSeq lists it as uncharacterized. The transcript is spliced from 5 exons. The record is from RefSeq and is a predicted model, not a curated record. NCBI's taxonomy places the organism in Eukaryota, Metazoa, Arthropoda, Malacostraca, Decapoda, Varunidae.